RNAcentral lists this long non-coding RNA (1865 nucleotides) under Olea europaea subsp. europaea. The record is from RNAcentral. Lineage: Eukaryota; Viridiplantae; Streptophyta; Magnoliopsida; Lamiales; Oleaceae.
GAACUUUCCAAUGUCUUCCUGCAUCCUCACGUAUUUCCUCUCUCUCCCUCUCCUCUUCCUCACGUAUAAAACCCGCUCUCAUCACAGUCGAACAUGACCAGGAUGAUGGUAGAAGAAACCAAAGAGAAGGAAGAAGAACCCAAGUACUCACACAUCUAACCAGGAAGAAGGAAGAAAAAAUAUGCAACCAAACGUCCCUGCUUCCAUAUCCGCCCUAUUCACUGCCAAAGUUCGAUAUCGAGCCAUUGAUUGCGUCAAUUAAGGUUCGUUUCACAGCACUUUUAAAAAUUGCGAUUAUGUGAUGUUCCAUGUGAAUUUUCUAAUUACACUCAUGAAUUAAUUGCGAAUAUUACCUUUAUUUUGGAGUUAUCGUACUUAGGAUAUCGAUCGUUGAAUUGGAAUUCUUUCUGCUUCUUUUCCAUUGUAAUUUAUCAUUGACUUAUAUUUAGUGUAAAAAAUAAAAAAAGGGGGAGAAAAUGGCUAUUUCUUUCACUACAUUACCAUGGGGGUGGUUGGCUGGUACAGAGAAAGAGCAAGUCUUGAAUGGGACAUCAAUGAAUUCAAUAAAUUUUUCCUUCACCCAGUUGCAGCUUCUUUUCUCCAUUUUAAUCAAAAAGCUUUUCCAGAAAGUGCUGGAGCCUUUACUUUUUAUUUCUCAAUUUUCUGGAAGGCGAAUUUAAGGGACAUUGUCAAUCAAACUAUUAAAUGACAAAACUGUAUUCAGCAACAAAGAAAUAAAAAAGGAUGGUUUAUAUCUAUCAGUUAAUUUAUAUCAUGUGUAACAAUGGUAUGCUGGUAAUCGUCCAUUUAUAUGGCCCUGUGGGAUUUGAAAUUAUUAAAUGCUAACUUGAUGGAGUCAUAUUGUGCUUGUUUUCAUAAAAGGAUGGUAUUUAAGCUCGUAGCAUAUGAUAAACAUCACUCGAUCUUGAUGAUUUGUCAUUUUCUGUUGAGUUGAAAUGAUGUAGUGUUUAGUUUUCUUGGCCAUGGUCCUUUUUUCAUGUAUUGACUCAUCAAAAGUAGUUGCUUUCCUGUGUGUUUCGGGCAUCAUUCCCUCUCCUGAUUUAACAAGUGCAUAAUGUAGCAAGGGUUGUCGCACACCUUUUAGUUAUCUCACUUGAAUAUUUUGCAAUUUUAAAGAGAUCCUCAAGUGUAUAUGAAGUUGAGAUAGGCAGACAUUUGCCACCCUGUUACAUUUCUAAUACUUAAUUGUCUAUUACAAUUUUGGCCAAAGUGCUAUAAAUGAAUUUUUAAUGAGUAGUUACAAAUGAUAGGUACACGGUGCUUGAUUUAUCAUAGCAUUUAAGAGCUUUGUCUUUUCGGACGGUUCAUAUAUUUGUUAAACUUGGUAUAUGUUUUCUAGGGUGAUUAUAUAAUCAGUGAAACUUUUGAAACAUAUAAAUUUACAUGCCUUGUGCAUGGGGUAUCGUACUUUUUGUUGUAUACUCUAUCUACCCUAUUCGCUGCCAAAAUGACUUGAUGAAAGUUUUUAUCAACUACAAACUUUUUUUUCCUCAACUCUCCAUGCCAUGCUUACAGGACGGUGAUGGUGUGUAUGGACCCCCAAAAUUGGCUCCUGCUGCUAUAGAGGAAGAUAAGAUGUCAUGACAAGAGAGAAAUGCUUUGAGAAAAGAGAGAAAAUAUGCGACAAGCGAAUUGUGAAAUUCAUAUUUAUGCAUCUCAUGGUGUAACUAUUAAUCUUGAAUUCUUCAUCCUGAAUUUAUUUUUUGGGCAGCUAGAAGCUAGUGAAAAAAUGGAGAUAUUCAGGGGUUCCAAAUAUUUAAUGAGGCCGUGAAGCAUAUUUGGUCCAUCAAAGAAAAGAAGAAUUGAAUAAUCUAUGAGGAGGUACUUACAAUUGUAACCAGUGU